RNAcentral lists this ribosomal RNA (491 nucleotides) under uncultured bacterium. RNAcentral's name for it is "partial 16S ribosomal RNA". It matches the Rfam family "Bacterial small subunit ribosomal RNA", at positions 29 to 507 of the family's 1533-position model. The record is from RNAcentral.
GUGAACGCUGGCGGUAGGCCUAACACAUGCCAGUCGAACGGCAGCACAGUAAGAGCUUGCUCUUACGGGUGGCGAGUGGCGGACGGGUGAGGAAUACAUCGGAAUCUACUUUUUCGUGGGGGAUAACGUAGGGAAACUUACGCUAAUACCGCAUACGACCUACGGGUGAAAGCAGGGGAUCUUCGGACCUUGCGCGAUUGAAUGAGCCGAUGUCGGAUUAGCUAGUUGGCGGGGUAAAGGCCCACCAAGGCGACGAUCCGUAGCUGGUCUGAGAGGAUGAUCAGCCACACUGGAACUGAGACACGGUCCAGACUCCUACGGGAGGCAGCAGUGGGGAAUAUUGGACAAUGGGCGCAAGCCUGAUCCAGCCAUACCGCGUGGGUGAAGAAGGCCUUCGGGUUGUAAAGCCCUUUUGUUGGGAAAGAAGAGCAGCAGGUUAAUACCCCGCUGUUCUGACGGUACCCAAAGAAUAAGCACCGACUAACUUCGUG